GAUGAACGCUGGCGGCGUGCCUAAUGCAUGCAAGUCGAGCGAACGGACGAGAAGCUUGCUUCUCUGAUGUUAGCGGCGGACGGGUGAGUAACACGUGGAUAACCUACCUAUAAGACUGGGGUAACUUCGGGAAACCGGAGCUAAUACCGGAUAAUAUUUUGAACCGCAUGGUUCAAAAGUGAAAGACGGUCUUGCUGUCACUUAUAGAUGGAUCCGCGCUGCAUUAGCUAGUUGGUAAGGUAACGGCUUACCAAGGCAACGAUGCGUAGCCGACCUGAGAGGGCGAUCGGCCACACUGGAACUGAGACACGGUCCAGACUCCUACGGGAGGCAGCAGUAGGGAAUCUUCCGCAAUGGGCGAAAGCUUGACGGAGCAACGCCGCGUGAGUGAUGAAGGUCUUCGGAUCGUAAAACUCUGUUAUUAGGGAAGAACAAAUGUGUAAGUAACUAUGCACGUCUUGACGGUACCUAAUCAGAAAGCCACGGCUAACUACGUG
Molecule: ribosomal RNA, 497 nt
Filed under: uncultured bacterium
Lineage: Bacteria
Description: partial 16S ribosomal RNA
Rfam family: Bacterial small subunit ribosomal RNA
Source: RNAcentral